This 406-nucleotide ribosomal RNA is filed under the name uncultured bacterium. Its description in RNAcentral is "partial 16S ribosomal RNA". It matches the Rfam family "Bacterial small subunit ribosomal RNA", at positions 30 to 526 of the family's 1533-position model. The record is from RNAcentral.
AUUGAACGCUGGCGGCAGGCCUAACACAUGCAAGUCGAACGAGUAGCGGACGGGUGGGUAAUGUCUGGGAAACUGCCUGAUGGAGGGGGAUAACUACUGGAAACGGUAGCUAAUACAGCAUACCAUCAGAUGUGGCCAGAUUGGAUUAGCUUGUUGGUGGGGUAACGGCGCACCAAGGGGACGCUUCAUAGCUGGUCUGAGAGGAUGACCAGCCACACUGGAACUGAGACACGGUCCAGACUCCUACGGGAGGCAGCAGUGGGGAAUAUUGGGCAAUGGGCGCAAGUCUGAUGCAGCAACGCCGCGUGUAUGAAGAAGGUCUUCGGAUUGUAAAGUACUUUUAUCUGAGAAGCGUUAUCUGCAGAAGAAGCACCGGCUAACUCCGUGCCAGCAGCCGCGGUAAUUC